This is a non-coding RNA of Stegodyphus mimosarum, 73 nucleotides long. The record is from Rfam. Lineage: Eukaryota; Metazoa; Arthropoda; Arachnida; Araneae; Eresidae.
GCCUUUGUGGUGUAAUGGUCAGCACACUCGGCGCGUAUUCCAGAUUUCAGAGGUUCGAGUCCCGGCGAGGGUG